RNAcentral lists this unclassified non-coding RNA (388 nucleotides) under soil metagenome. RNAcentral's name for it is "partial contains 5.8S ribosomal RNA, internal transcribed spacer 2, and large subunit ribosomal RNA". The stretch from base 1 to 122 matches the Rfam family "5.8S ribosomal RNA", at positions 35 to 154 of the family's 154-position model. The record is from RNAcentral.
GAUGAAGAACGUAGCGAAAUGCGAUACUUGGUGUGAAUUGCAGAAUCCCGUGAACCAUCGAGUCUUUGAACGCAAGUUGCGCCCGAAGCCAUUAGGCCGAGGGCACGCCUGCCUGGGCGUCACACGUCGUUGCCCCCCCAUCUACUCCUUCGGGAUUGCGGGGGGCGGAUGAUGGCCUCUCGUGCGCCUCGUCGCGCGGUUGGCCUAAAUGCCAAGUCCUCGGCGACGCACGCCACGACAAUCGGUGGUUGCGAAACCUCGGUUGCCUGUCGUGUGUGGUCGUCGCGCAUCGAGGGCUCGAAAAAAUUGCCGGGCUUCGGCUCGACUUUCAACGCGACCCCAGGUCAGGCGGGGUUACCCGCUGAAUUUAAGCAUAUCAAAAGGAGGA